This 489-nucleotide ribosomal RNA is filed under the name uncultured bacterium. RNAcentral describes it as "partial 16S ribosomal RNA". It matches the Rfam family "Bacterial small subunit ribosomal RNA", at positions 28 to 507 of the family's 1533-position model. The record is from RNAcentral.
GAUGAACGCUAGCGGCAGGCUUAAUACAUGCAAGUCGAGGGGCAGCAGGACUGUAGCAAUACAGUUGCUGGCGACCGGCAAACGGGUGCGGAACACGUACGCAACCUACCCAAAACUGGGGGAUAGCCCGGGGAAACCCGGAUUAAUACCUCGUAACCUUUUUAAGUGGCAUCACUUGAUAAGUAUAGCUCCGGCGGUUUUGGAUGGGCGUGCGCUUGAUUAGGUAGUUGGUGCGGGUAACGGCCCACCAAGCCUGCGAUCAGUAACUGGUGUGAGAGCACGACCAGUCACACGGGCACUGAGACACGGGCCCGACUCCUACGGGAGGCAGCAGUAAGGAAUAUUGGUCAAUGGACGCAAGUCUGAACCAGCCAUGCCGCGUGAAGGAUGAAGGUCCUCUGGAUUGUAAACUUCUUUUAUGGGGGACGAAACCCGGAUAUUCUUAUCCGAUUGACGGUACCUCAGGAAUAAGCACCGGCUAACUCCGUG